Molecule: ribosomal RNA, 345 nt
Filed under: Triticum aestivum (bread wheat)
Lineage: Eukaryota; Viridiplantae; Streptophyta; Magnoliopsida; Poales; Poaceae
Description: partial small subunit ribosomal RNA
Source: RNAcentral
AUGUUCCAGAUAUUCAUAAUUGCUCAAGACGUUGAGGAAGUAUCAGAAAAAAACAUACUAUAUAAGGAAAAACAAUUGUGUAGUGUUGGGCUGAACCUUAAAGCUACUUUGCUAGCCACAAACACUUUCCUAUGUGCUAAGAUCCUGUUAGCUUACAAUGUGAUAUUACCUCCAACAGUAGCACCAACCAUGGCUAUCGCAAACAGCAGCGGCAUGUUAGGAAGAGAGUACCCCGGGUCACAUUCUUCUGCCAAGCAACUGGGUGGCAUCGCAAGCAUGACAGCACUGCUGGUCACCAAUGCUUUCCCGAAACAAGAAGAUACAGCUUCCUGCAAAGAGAUAUGA